Oreochromis aureus is the source of this 656-nucleotide long non-coding RNA. RefSeq lists it as uncharacterized. NCBI's taxonomy places the organism in Eukaryota, Metazoa, Chordata, Actinopteri, Cichliformes, Cichlidae. The record is from RefSeq and is a predicted model, not a curated record. The transcript has 4 exons.
UCCACACCUCCACCUACAUCCACCUCUCCUCCUGUUCUCUCUGUGUUGUCAUGUGUUGGAUCAAUCUCUGUUGUGGUUCUACUGGUGUUACUGGUUCUGCUGGUGAGACGAUGUGUUCUCAGCAAAGCUGAAGAUCGAGAUGAACCUGUGGAAGGUGACAUGUUGUACAGUGAUGUCAAAAUAUCAAAUCAUCAACAGCCAAAAAAACAAAACAAAGAGAGUGAUGCAGCAGUAAUCUACUCAGCAGUGAGAACAGAAGACAUCAGUUAUGGUCGAAUCAUAAUCAAAGACAAGAAAACCAGAUCACAGAUGAGAGACUUUAAACCAGAGCCAGACGCCAUCUACUCUUUACUGAAGUAGUCCACCAGUCCAACCACUGCUGUCCAGCUGCAGGUCUCUAACUGGUCCCCCCAGCACCUGAGACAAGAGGACAUCCACAUGUUAAUUUUUCACUGAUUUAGAUUAAAAUGAUUGAAAACUUCAAAAAACAUAUGAGGAUUUUAUCUAAGUAAGUUUUAAAUGUAUUUUCCUGCAGUGAAAAACAAUAUAAAUAUGUAGGUUUACUUUUUAUAUUUAAAGUAUGAUUCAAGCACCUUGUUCUUGUUCCCUCAGCUACUAUUUAAUUUCUCUGCGUGAAUAAUAAACCUUUGCUCUCA